RNAcentral lists this ribosomal RNA (1245 nucleotides) under metagenome. RNAcentral's name for it is "bacterial SSU rRNA". It matches the Rfam family "Bacterial small subunit ribosomal RNA", at positions 262 to 1498 of the family's 1533-position model. The record is from RNAcentral.
GGCUCACCAAGGCGACGAUCUGUAGCGGGUCUGAGAGGAUGAUCCGCCACACUGGAACUGAGACACGGUCCAGACUCCUACGGGAGGCAGCAGUGGGGAAUUUUGGACAAUGGGGGCAACCCUGAUCCAGCCAUGCCGCGUGAGUGAAGAAGGCCUUCGGGUUGUAAAGCUCUUUCGGCCGGGAAGAAAUCGCAUGGGUUAAUACCCUGUGCGGAUGACGGUACCGGCAUAAGAAGCACCGGCUAACUACGUGCCAGCAGCCGCGGUAAUACGUAGGGUGCGAGCGUUAAUCGGAAUUACUGGGCGUAAAGCGUGCGCAGGCGGUUUUGUAAGACAGGCGUGAAAUCCCCGGGCUCAACCUGGGAACUGCGCUUGUGACUGCAAGGCUAGAGUAUGGCAGAGGGGGGUGGAAUUCCACGUGUAGCAGUGAAAUGCGUAGAGAUGUGGAGGAACACCAAUGGCGAAGGCAGCCCCCUGGGCCAAUACUGACGCUCAUGCACGAAAGCGUGGGUAGCAAACAGGAUUAGAUACCCUGGUAGUCCACGCCCUAAACGAUGUCAACUAGGUGUUGGGUGGGUAAAACCAUUUAGUACCGGAGCUAACGCGUGAAGUUGACCGCCUGGGGAGUACGGCCGCAAGGUUAAAACUCAAAGGAAUUGACGGGGACCCGCACAAGCGGUGGAUGAUGUGGAUUAAUUCGAUGCAACGCGAAAAACCUUACCUACCCUUGACAUGUCCAGGAGCCUGAAGAGAUUUGGGUGUGCCCGAAAGGGAACUGGAACACAGGUGCUGCAUGGCUGUCGUCAGCUCGUGUCGUGAGAUGUUGGGUUAAGUCCCGCAACGAGCGCAACCCUUGUCGUUAAUUGCCAUCAUUUAGUUGGGCAUUUUAACGAGACUGCCGGUGACAAACCGGAGGAAGGUGGGGAUGACGUCAAGUCCUCAUGGCCCUUAUGGGUAGGGCUUCACACGUCAUACAAUGGUCGGUACAAAGGGUUGCCAACCCGCGAGGGGGAGCCAAUCCCAGAAAGCCGAUCGUAGUCCGGAUUGCAGGCUGCAACUCGCCUGCAUGAAGUCGGAAUCGCUAGUAAUCGUGGAUCAGCAUGUCACGGUGAAUACGUUCCCGGGUCUUGUACACACCGCCCGUCACACCAUGGGAGCGGGUUCCGCCAGAAGUAGGUAGCCUAACCGCAAGGGGGGCGCUUACCACGGCGGGGUUCGUGACUGGGGUGAAGUCGAAACAAGGUA